GAUGAACGCUGGCGGCGUGCCUAAUACAUGCAAGUCGAACGCUGAAGGAGGAGCUUGCUCUUCUGGAUGAGUUGCGAACGGGUGAGUAACGCGUAGGUAACCUGCCUGGUAGCGGGGGAUAACUAUUGGAAACGAUAGCUAAUACCGCAUGACAACAGCUAUUGCAUGAUAACUGUUUAAAAGGGGCAACUGCUCCACUACCAGAUGGACCUGCGUUGUAUUAGCUAGUUGGUGAGGUAACGGCUCACCAAGGCGACGAUACAUAGCCGACCUGAGAGGGUGAUCGGCCACACUGGGACUGAGACACGGCCCAGACUCCCACGGGAGGCAGCAGUAGGGAAUCUUCAGCAAUCGACGGAAGUCUGACCGAGCAAGGCCGCGUGAGUAAAGAAGGUUUUCGGAUCGGAAAGCUCUGUUGUAAGAGAAGAACGAGUGUGAGAGUGGAAAGUUCACACUGUGACGGUAUCUUACCAGAAAGGGACGGCUAACUACGUG
RNAcentral lists this ribosomal RNA (495 nucleotides) under uncultured bacterium. RNAcentral's name for it is "partial 16S ribosomal RNA". It matches the Rfam family "Bacterial small subunit ribosomal RNA", at positions 28 to 507 of the family's 1533-position model. The record is from RNAcentral.